AGCGAACGCUGGCGGCAGGCUUAACACAUGCAAGUCGAACGGGCAUCUUCGGAUGUCAGUGGCAGACGGGUGAGUAACACGUGGGAACGUACCCUUCGGCUCGGAAUAACUCAGGGAAACUUGAGCUAAUACCGGAUACGCCCUUUUGGGGAAAGGUUUACUGCCGAAGGAUCGGCCCGCGUCUGAUUAGCUUGUUGGUGGGGUAACGGCCUACCAAGGCGACGAUCAGUAGCUGGUCUGAGAGGAUGAUCAGCCACACUGGGACUGAGACACGGCCCAGACUCCUACGGGAGGCAGCAGUGGGGAAUAUUGGACAAUGGGCGCAAGCCUGAUCCAGCCAUGCCGCGUGAGUGAUGAAGGCCUUAGGGUUGUAAAGCUCUUUUGUCCGGGACGAUAAUGACGGUACCGGAAGAAUAAGCCCCGGCUAACUUCGUG
RNAcentral lists this ribosomal RNA (435 nucleotides) under uncultured bacterium. Its description in RNAcentral is "partial 16S ribosomal RNA". It matches the Rfam family "Bacterial small subunit ribosomal RNA", at positions 29 to 507 of the family's 1533-position model. The record is from RNAcentral.